Molecule: non-coding RNA, 941 nt
Organism: Taeniopygia guttata (zebra finch)
Lineage: Eukaryota; Metazoa; Chordata; Aves; Passeriformes; Estrildidae
Source: RefSeq, a predicted model, not a curated record
CAGCCUUCCCUGCUCCAGGCUGGACAAGCCCAGCUCCCUCAGCCUCUGCUCACAGCCCAGGGGCUCCAGCCCCACCUUGGAGGCCCUUCCCUAACCCUGCUCCAGCUGCCAGACAUCUUUCCUGUCCUGGGGAACCCAACCCAGGCCAUAGGGACCUGGAUAAUCCACAUCCUUGAUGUCCUGGUCACACAGCCCUGGCUCCUUGUCCCCAUGUCAGGCUCUGGGGUGGAUCCUGUGGAACAUCCUUUGGUGGAGGCUGUGGCUCCAGGGGGACCGGGGGGAUACCGGGGGACAGGGACCCUGCUGGGCAUGAACAGCAUUGGACUUGUUGGGAGAAACUGUGAGGGGGAGCUGGGGCGGAGUGACCAACCCAGUGACCUCACAGAGCCCUCCUGGGAUGUCACACAGCCCCUCUCUGAUGUCUCAGCCUGCUCUGUGAGGUCACAGCCCAAUCUCUAAUGUCACACAGCUGGUUUCUGAUGUCACAGCCAACUCUGCGAUGUCACAGCCAGCUCUGUGAUGUCACAGAGACUGUCUUUGAUGCCGUAGCUGCUCGAUGACCUCACAUAACCCACUCUGUGAUGUCAUAGCCCACUCUGUGACCUCAUGUUACCAGAUGAUAAAUUGUCUCCACCAGGUGAGCUGACACCUGGAGCUUGUUCUCCAAAACCCCAGGCCCAUGGAAACCACACAGUGCCCAUUGUGGGAGAAGGGGAACUGGAAGUUCACCAGCCUCAGUGUCCUGCCAGCUCAGCCAGGCCCACGGGAACAUUGGGGUCCACGACCACCAGGGACCACCAGAGAGACCCCCAGGACAGAAGAACACAUGGAAUAUGAACAGAAACUUUCCUGCACUCAGCAUGCUCGGCUUUGGGAGGAGCUAUCCCCUGUGCAUCCAGCUGAAUAAAGAAUGCUGCUUCUUAAUGCUGCACUGGUGUUAA